CCUACGGGAGGCAGCAGUGAGGAAUAUUGGUCAAUGGACGAGAGUCUGAACCAGCCAAGUAGCGUGAAGGAUGACUGCCCUAUGGGUUGUAACCUUCUUCUAUAAAGGAAUAAAACGAGGCACGUGUGCCUCUUUGCAUGUACUUUAUGAAUAAGGAUCGGCUAACUCCGUGCCAGCAGCAGCGGUAAUAUGGAGGAUCCGAGCGUUAUCCGGAUUUAAUGUGUUUAAAGGGAGCGUAGAUGGGUUGUUAAGUCAGUUGUGAAAGUUUGCGGCUCAACCGUAAAAUUGCAAUUGAUACUGGCAGUCUUGAGUACAGUUGAGGAAGGCGGAAUGCGUGGUGUAGCGGUGAAAUGCUUAGAUAUCACGAAGAACCCCGAUUGCGAAGGCAGCUAACUAAACUGUGACUGACAUUGAUGCUCGAAAGUGUGGGUAUCAAACAGGAUUAGAUACCCGAGUAGUC
Molecule: ribosomal RNA, 460 nt
Filed under: uncultured bacterium
Lineage: Bacteria
Description: partial 16S ribosomal RNA
Rfam family: Bacterial small subunit ribosomal RNA
Source: RNAcentral